GAUAACGCUGGCGCGCACAUAAGACAUGCAAGUCGAACGGACUUAACCCGAAGUUUACUUUGGGAGCGGUUAGUGGCGGACUGGUGAGUAACACGUAAGCAACCUGCCUAUCAGAGGGGAACAACAGUUAGAGAUGACUGCUAAUACCGCAUAUGCCUUAGCAACACAUGUUGCAAAAGGGAAAGGAGCAAUCCGCUGAAAGAUGGCUUCGCGUCUGAUUAGCUAGAUGGCGGGGUAACGGCCCACCAUGGCGACGAUCAGUAGCCGGUCUGAGAGGAUGAACGGCCACAUUGGGACUGAGACACGGCCCAGACUCCUACGGGAGGCAGCAGUGGGGAAUAUUGCACAAUGGGGGAAACCCUGAUGCAGCGACGCCGCGUGAAGGAUGAAGGUCUUCGGAUCGUAAACUUUUGGUCUUCAGGGACGAUAAUGACGGUACCUGAGGAGGAAGCCACGGCUAACUACGUG
This 468-nucleotide ribosomal RNA is filed under the name uncultured bacterium. Its description in RNAcentral is "bacterial SSU rRNA". It matches the Rfam family "Bacterial small subunit ribosomal RNA", at positions 32 to 507 of the family's 1533-position model. The record is from RNAcentral.